This 517-nucleotide ribosomal RNA is filed under the name Pleuromamma xiphias. RNAcentral's name for it is "eukaryotic LSU rRNA". The stretch from base 293 to 517 matches the Rfam family "Eukaryotic large subunit ribosomal RNA", at positions 1 to 212 of the family's 3401-position model. The record is from RNAcentral. Lineage: Eukaryota; Metazoa; Arthropoda; Copepoda; Calanoida; Metridinidae.
ACGCAGCUAACUCCGAGAUGCCGUGUGAACUGCAGGACACAUGAACAUCGACAUUUUGAACGCAUAUUGCGGAAACGUGCUUGUCUCGUUUCCACGUUUGGCUCAGGGUCGGUUAAACAUCCAUCAGGUUUUUGCCUGCAUUGGGCUGUCGGCUUUAUGYCGCGGCUUUAAAGUGUGCUUUGUGGAGUGCCUGAAUCGYGACUCUUGGGAUUUAUUUCCUGGGUCCUUCUCAAGCGCCACGAGGUACGGCGUGGGAUACAACUUAAUGUCCCGUAGAUGCCAAUUCAACCUUCGACCUGAGAGCAAGCGAGAUUACCCGCCGAAUUUAAGCAUAUUAAUAAGCGGAGGAAAAGAAAACAACAGUGAUUUCCUUAGUAAUGGCGAAUGAAACGGAAAUAGCCCAUCGCCGAACGGCAGGCCCUCUUGGUCUCGCUGAAUGUGGCGUUUGGGAGAGUCUUAUCGCGGUGUGGACGGCCAGUCAAAGUCCAACUUGACAGUGGCCAUGGCCCGUAGAGGG